RNAcentral lists this ribosomal RNA (253 nucleotides) under uncultured bacterium. RNAcentral's name for it is "partial 16S ribosomal RNA". It matches the Rfam family "Bacterial small subunit ribosomal RNA", at positions 524 to 776 of the family's 1533-position model. The record is from RNAcentral.
UACGUAGGUGACAAGCGUUGUCCGGAAUCACUGGGCGUAAAGCGCACGUAGGCGGACUCUUAAGUCGGUGGUGAAAUCCUGGAGCUCAACUCCAGAACUGCCUUCGAUACUGGGAGUCUCGAGUCCGGGAGAGGUGAGUGGAACUGCGAGUGUAGAGGUGAAAUUCGUAGAUAUUCGCAAGAACACCAGUGGCGAAGGCGGCUCACUGGCCCGGUACUGACGCUGAGGUGCGAAAGCGUGGGGAGCAAACAGG